Molecule: unclassified non-coding RNA, 422 nt
Filed under: soil metagenome
Description: partial contains 5.8S ribosomal RNA, internal transcribed spacer 2, and large subunit ribosomal RNA
Rfam family: 5.8S ribosomal RNA (bases 1-120)
Source: RNAcentral
GAUGAAGAACGUAGCGAAAUGCGAUAAGUAAUGUGAAUUGCAGAUUUCAGUGAAUCAUCGAAUCUUUGAACGCACCUUGCGCCUUGUGGUAUUCCACAAGGCAUGCCCGUUUGAGUAUCAUUAAAUCAUCAACUCUAAAACCUUUGUGGUUUUUUUAGAGCUUGGUCUUGAGGGUUUUGCAGGCUUUUUUUUUUUCGAGUCUGCUCCCUUUAAAUGCAUUAGCGAGACUUCCCUAUGCUGAACCGUCUCUUUGACGUGAUAAUUAUCUGCGUCGAAUUUUGGUUCUCGUUGGGCUUGCUUCUAAUCGUCUGUUAAAGACAAAACGGAUUUGUGUGCAUAUAUGCGCCUUUUUCCAAAACCUUUUUUGAUCUCAAAUCGGGUAGGACUACCCGCUGAACUUAAGCAUAUCAAUAAGCGGAGGA